CCGAGUUUACAACUCCCAAAACCCCUGGUGAACAUACCUAUACGUUGCCUCGGCGGAUCAGCCCGCGCCCGUAAAAAGGGACGGCCCGCCCGAGGACCCCUAAACUCUGUUUUUAGUGGAACUUCUGAGUAAAACAAACAAAAUAAAUCA
This 150-nucleotide unclassified non-coding RNA is filed under the name soil metagenome. RNAcentral describes it as "partial internal transcribed spacer 1". The record is from RNAcentral.